CGCGUCCAACGGCAACGUUCGACGUGACGGCGCAGAGGUCAGCCGAAGCCAUAGUAAUCGCACGCCCGUGGACGGGCCUCGCGGUGAAGGGC
Molecule: non-coding RNA, 92 nt
Organism: Halorhodospira halochloris str. A
Lineage: Bacteria; Pseudomonadati; Pseudomonadota; Gammaproteobacteria; Chromatiales; Ectothiorhodospiraceae
Source: Rfam